GAUGAACGCUGGCGGCGUGCCUAAUACAUGCAAGUCGAGCGAACAGACGAGGAGCUUGCUCCUCUGACGUUAGCGGCGGACGGGUGAGUAACACGUGGAUAACCUACCUAUAAGACUGGGAUAACUUCGGGAAACCGGAGCUAAUACCGGAUAAUAUAUUGAACCGCAUGGUUCAAUAGUGAAAGACGGUUUUGCUGUCACUUAUAGAUGGAUCCGCGCCGCAUUAGCUAGUUGGUAAGGUAACGGCUUACCAAGGCGACGAUGCGUAGCCGACCUGAGAGGGUGAUCGGCCACACUGGAACUGAGACACGGUCCAGACUCCUACGGGAGGAAGCAGUAGGGAAUCUUCCGCAAUGGGCGAAAGCCUGACGGAGCAACGCCGCGUGAGUGAUGAAGGUCUUCGGAUCGUAAAACUCUGUUAUUAGGGAAGAACAAAUGUGUAAGUAACUAUGCACGUCUUGACGGUACCUAAUCAGAAAGCCACGGCUAAGUACGUG
This 497-nucleotide ribosomal RNA is filed under the name uncultured bacterium. RNAcentral's name for it is "partial 16S ribosomal RNA". It matches the Rfam family "Bacterial small subunit ribosomal RNA", at positions 28 to 507 of the family's 1533-position model. The record is from RNAcentral.